This 253-nucleotide ribosomal RNA is filed under the name uncultured bacterium. RNAcentral's name for it is "partial 16S ribosomal RNA". It matches the Rfam family "Bacterial small subunit ribosomal RNA", at positions 524 to 776 of the family's 1533-position model. The record is from RNAcentral.
UACGGAGGGUGCAAGCGUUGUUCGGAAUUACUGGGCGUAAAGCGCGUGUAGGCGGACUCGGAAGUCGGGUGUGAAAGCCCCGGGCUUAACUCGGGAAGUGCGCUCGAAACCACGAGUCUGGAGGUCCGGAGGGGAUCGGGGAAUUCCCAGUGUAGAGGUGAAAUUCGUAGAUAUUGGGAGGAACACCGGUGGCGAAGGCGCCGAUCUGGACGGAUUCUGACGCUGAGACGCGAAAGCGUGGGUAGCAAACAGG